This is a non-coding RNA of Salmo salar (Atlantic salmon), 54 nucleotides long. Lineage: Eukaryota; Metazoa; Chordata; Actinopteri; Salmoniformes; Salmonidae. The record is from Rfam.
GAUGGCAUAAUUUGUAAGUCGUUCUGGAUAAGAGCGUCUGCUAAAUGACGUAAA